UUACGGCCACAUCACAUUGAAACACUGGUUCCCAUGACAAUCAAUAGAGUUAAGCAACAUUGAGCCUAGUCAGUACCUAAAUGGGUGACUGCUUGGGAAUACCAGGUACU
Non-coding RNA from Acanthosepion pharaonis, 110 nucleotides. The record is from the annotation of a GenBank genome assembly. NCBI's taxonomy places the organism in Eukaryota, Metazoa, Mollusca, Cephalopoda, Sepiida, Sepiidae.